RNAcentral lists this ribosomal RNA (459 nucleotides) under uncultured bacterium. Its description in RNAcentral is "partial 16S ribosomal RNA". It matches the Rfam family "Bacterial small subunit ribosomal RNA", at positions 338 to 795 of the family's 1533-position model. The record is from RNAcentral.
CCUACGGGAGGCUGCAGUAGGGAAUAUUGCUCAAUGGGGGAAACCCUGAACCAGCCAAGCCGCGUGAAGGACGAAGGUGCCAAGCAUUGUAAACUUCUUUUGUCAAGGGACAAAAUCAGGCUCGAGAGCCUGACCGAGGGUACUUGAAGAAAAAGCAUCGGCUAACUCCGUGCCAGCAGCCGCGGUAAUACGGAGGAUGCGAGCGUUAUCCGGAUUUAUGGGGUUUAAAGGGUGCGUAGGCGGACUGUUAAGUCAGCGGUAAAAGCCCGGGGCUCAACCCCGGCGAGCCGUUGAAACUGGCUGUCUUGAGAUGUCGAGAGGUAUGCGGAAUGCGCAGUGUAGCGGUGAAAUGCUUAGAUAUUGCGCAGAACUCCGAUUGCGAAGGCAGCAUACCGGCGGCGAUCUGACGCUGAGGCACGAAAGCGUGGGUAUCGAACAGGAUUAGAUACCCGGGUAGUC